RNAcentral lists this small RNA (646 nucleotides) under Uncinocarpus reesii. Its description in RNAcentral is "eukaryotic LSU rRNA". The stretch from base 271 to 424 matches the Rfam family "5.8S ribosomal RNA". Lineage: Eukaryota; Fungi; Ascomycota; Eurotiomycetes; Onygenales; Onygenaceae. The record is from RNAcentral.
GGAAGUAAAAGUCGUAACAAGGUUUCCGUAGGUGAACCUGCGGAAGGAUCAUUACAGUGGUUUCGGGCCGUGCCGUUUCCCCGCUCGGGGGGCGCGCGGCCUGCACCUCCCACCCAUGUUUACUUGAAACCCUUUGUUGCCUUGGCAGGACUGCCGCUUGUCGGCUGCCGGGGACCUGCAGCCAUGCAGCCCGGGCGAGUGCCUGCCAGAGGACCAUUUGAACCCUAAGUGAAGAUUGACAGUCUGAGUAUUCUAGCAAGAAUAAGUUAAAACUUUCAACAACGGAUCUCUUGGUUCCAGCAUCGAUGAAGAACGCAGCGAAAUGCGAUAAGUAAUGUGAAUUGCAGAAUUCCGUGAAUCAUCGAAUCUUUGAACGCACAUUGCGCCCCCUGGUAUUCCGGGGGGCAUGCCUGUCCGAGCGUCAUUGCAAAUCCUUCAAGCACGGCUUGUGUGUUGGACUGCGUCCCCGAUGGUGUGGACGAGUCUGAAAUGCAGUGGCGGCGCCGAGUUCCUGGUGUCUGAGUGUAUGGGAAAUCUCUCUUUGCUCAAAGACCCGAUCGGUACCGACCGUAGAUCUUUCUUUCCGGUUUGACCUCGGAUCAGGUAGGAGUACCCGCUGAACUUAAGCAUAUCAAAAUGCGGAGGA